CCGAGGGUAAUCACCCACCCCGGCUAUCGAGCAUCAGCUACUCGGGUUUGUUGUUCGGAGUUGUCCCUCUCCGAGGGUAAUCACCCACCCCGGCUAUCGAGCAUCAGCUACUCGGGUUUGUUGUUCGGAGUUGUCCCUCUCCGAGGGUAAUCACCCACCCCGGCUAUCGAGCAUCAGCUACUCGGGUUUGUUGUUCGGGGUUGUCCUUCUCCGAGGGUAAUCACCCACCCCGGCUAUCGAGCAUCACCUGCUCAGGUUUGUUGUUCGGAGUUGUCCCUCUCCGAGGGGAAUUGCUUACCCCGGCCAUUGAGCUCCACCUGCC
Molecule: long non-coding RNA, 322 nt
Organism: Eriocheir sinensis (Chinese mitten crab)
Lineage: Eukaryota; Metazoa; Arthropoda; Malacostraca; Decapoda; Varunidae
Exons: 3
Source: RefSeq, a predicted model, not a curated record